This 253-nucleotide ribosomal RNA is filed under the name uncultured bacterium. Its description in RNAcentral is "partial 16S ribosomal RNA". It matches the Rfam family "Bacterial small subunit ribosomal RNA", at positions 524 to 776 of the family's 1533-position model. The record is from RNAcentral.
UACGUAGGGGGCAAGCGUUGUCCGGAAUCAUUGGGCGUAAAGCGCGUGUAGGCGGCCAGGUAAGUCCGUUCUGAAAGCCCGGGGCUCAACCCCGGGAGGCGGAUGGAUACUGCUUGGCUCGAGUCCGGAAGAGGCGAGUGGAAUUCCCGGUGUAGCGGUGAAAUGCGCAGAUAUCAGGAAGAACACCCGUGGCGAAGGCGGCUCUCUGGGACGGUACUGACGCUGAGACGCGACAGCGUGGGGAGCAAACAGG